Molecule: long non-coding RNA, 843 nt
Organism: Monopterus albus (swamp eel)
Lineage: Eukaryota; Metazoa; Chordata; Actinopteri; Synbranchiformes; Synbranchidae
Exons: 3
Source: RefSeq, a predicted model, not a curated record
UCACCUAGCAAAACACGUCUGUAGCGAUCAGCACACAUUAAUACAUUUUGAGUUAGAAUUUUUUACGCCCACAAUGGCUGACGGAGGAGGAGAAAUUGACUUGGUCUCUGACAUUCUUAAAAAUCAAUUUUCAAGGCGGACUUUCUACAGAAAAGCUAGACAUCGUGAUGAGAGGUCGGCCAAACCCGAAGCUAGCUAGCUAGAUUGUCUCAGCGCGGCUGUACAGAUUGGCAUGUCUGACCGUGACUAUCCCUACAUCCACUGCAACUGUCGAGCGGACAUUCUCUGCCCCCAAGAGAAUAAAAACCUGUGCCAGGAAUACGACUGGACAGUGUCGACUCGCAGCCUUGGCUCCAUGGCUAUAGAAAAGGACUUACUGAUGGAACUGAAAGGCAGAGGUCAGGUCUAAUGACAGGAGGAGAAGGAGGAUAGAUUUUGUCUAUAAAUAAUUAGCAUCUCUGCUGGCACCGGCUGGCCGCUCUGUUUACAGUGGAGCCCUCAUCAGACACAGAUCCUCCAGAUUAGAUCAGCACUCUGACCCGCUCAGCCUCCAGCUAAUGGCCACAGCUGGCUGGAGAUCAGACUUGAAUGUAAAUCCAAUGGCUGCAGCUACAGAGCAUGAUAACGCCAGUGAGCAGCAGUGUACUAUGUGAAAGUUACACAAGGAGGUGACAGGUAGGUAUUUAAAGACCUGGAUUCAGACUGAAGCUGGCAGAGAAGAGCUGGCUAAGUCAGGGGUUUCUUCCUGCUGCCUUGGGAUUGAGUAAAGCAGGGCACAUAAAUUACCUUCAAGGAAGCUUCAUGUAGUAUAAGAGCUUCAACAGUGGCACCAAGUUAUCCUGU